Molecule: ribosomal RNA, 485 nt
Filed under: Ascomycota sp. PIMO_117
Lineage: Eukaryota; Fungi; Ascomycota
Description: eukaryotic LSU rRNA
Rfam family: 5.8S ribosomal RNA (bases 133-286)
Source: RNAcentral
GUUGUGGGCUUUGCCUGCUAUCUCUUACCCAUGUCUUUUGAGUACUUACGUUUCCUCGGUGGGUUCGCCCGCCGAUUGGACAAUUUAAACCCUUUGCAGUUGCAAUCAGCGUCUGAAAAACAUAAUAGUUACAACUUUCAACAACGGAUCUCUUGGUUCUGGCAUCGAUGAAGAACGCAGCGAAAUGCGAUAAGUAGUGUGAAUUGCAGAAUUCAGUGAAUCAUCGAAUCUUUGAACGCACAUUGCGCCCCUUGGUAUUCCAUGGGGCAUGCCUGUUCGAGCGUCAUUUGUACCUUCAAGCUUUGCUUGGUGUUGGGUGUUUGUCUCGCCUUUGCGUGUAGACUCGCCUUAAAACAAUUGGCAGCCGGCGUAUUGAUUUCGGAGCGCACUACAUCUCACGCUUUGCACUCAUAACGACGACGUCCAAAAGUACUUUUUUACACUCUUGACCUCGGAUCAGGUACAGAUACCCGCUGAACUUAAGC